GGAGGUAUAGCUCAAGUGGCAGAGCACCUGCUUAGCAUGCAUGAGGUCCUGGGUUCAAUCCCCAGUACCUCCU
RNAcentral lists this transfer RNA (73 nucleotides) under Camelus bactrianus (Bactrian camel). It matches the Rfam family "tRNA". Rfam says of the family: Transfer RNA (tRNA) molecules are approximately 80 nucleotides in length. The record is from Rfam by way of RNAcentral. RNAcentral also lists the same sequence under 2 other names. Lineage: Eukaryota; Metazoa; Chordata; Mammalia; Artiodactyla; Camelidae.